Molecule: non-coding RNA, 2356 nt
Organism: Macaca mulatta (Rhesus monkey)
Lineage: Eukaryota; Metazoa; Chordata; Mammalia; Primates; Cercopithecidae
Source: RefSeq, a predicted model, not a curated record
CACACACAGAGAAAGCGCCACCUUCCUCAAAGACAGGAAGUCCUUCAUUGUUGAAGGAACCAAAAUAAAAUGACUUGUGGUUUUCCCCAUAUCCUCUUGCGUUGUAAGUAAAGAGUUUCUCCAAACCCUAUUUAUUCCCCAUUCCUUGCAGAAAAAUGCUGGUACAUUUUUACCGCAGGAGGCACAGUCACCCCAGAGCCACACAGCAAUGGAUAUUUAAGAAUAAGACUCUCUGCAGGAGGAUCAAGGAGUAAUAAAAAGAGCAGAAUAUCUGCAGCUGCCAAGACCUCAGCUCUAAUUCUAGAUUUGCAGCCCAUGGCUGCACAAUAGGCACAAGAAUGAACCAAUAUCACCACCAAGGAAAGUGGCACAGCUGAGCUGUACCCACAUCUGACUCCAAGGGACCAACUUUUGACAGCUAUUCACAUCAUCUGCUUUCUUUCCCUCAUCUACCUCUGCUAAUGAGCGUAUAGGAGGUCAUCUAGCCUGUCAACACUCACUGGGGCGUCUGUCUCAUUUCUUCCACCAGAUGGUAAAUCAUGUUCAAUGAUCUCCCUCCUGCCAGUCAAUCCUGAGGCCUGGACGUACCCACAGAAGUGAGUUCUAUUGAUUGUGGUAAGCUAUUAAAAUAAAAUAUGCUUUCCUUGAAUGUGAUGCAGGUAAAUCCAGUCAGGAAACAACUGUUUAUGUAUUUAUGAGAUAGACCAAGAGUCCUGCAAAGUGGCAUGGUCAAAGUCGACACGUCAUUUCCUAGGGGAAAUCUUGCAUCAGAUUUCACCACACAUCUGUUUUAUAAACUCUGACAGCAUCUGACUUUUAUAGUACUGAUCAUAACUGCAUUAUCAAUUGGUUAUUGGCAUAAUUAUUCAUUGAAACUUUGCCUUAAUUACUGAAAUUUUUAUUAAACUCUUUUUACCUUGUUUGGCAUAUAGAAUAUGCCCCUUAUCAAAUAAAGGCAUGGAUGAGAUUAUCUAUAUAAUAGGUGAUGUACUAAGCAAACCAGCUCUCAAAAUACACACACACUUAUUAAUGGUGUUUGCCAAUUCCCAUGGUGUAAAUUCUCCCACUAUGUUCAUUUCGAGCUACAAAUGGUUGGACAGAUGGCUCACACAAUUCCUGGAUGUUUCAUGGUUAGCUCCUAAAAGUCAGAAUGAGCCCAUUCCAGAGCACUGCUCAUGCAUAAAGGUGUGAGGAUGCCCUUGCUCAAUUUCAACAACCUUUCUCAAAAACAGAGUACACUUAGUAAUCUAGACUUGGGAAGAUUCUUCUUAAAGGCGAUGAACAUUUUCUUUUGGCUACAGGUUGCACAUUUUCUUCAACACAGAAGUCCUUGUUGUUUUAUUUUUUAGACAAUCUGCUAAAAUCAGAACCAGAGUUCUGAGCAUUACCUACAAAAGACUGUCCUAGGGACAUUUUUCUUCUCUAAGAAUCAGAAACAUUGCCAACCACAACUUUGGAAAGUGGCAAGUAGAAUAAAACAAGAAAAAGAAGCCAGAGAUAUAACUAUGGGAAGAGAGGGAAAGCUAUAUUUUUUCACAGGCAAUAUGACCAAUUAAGUAGUUCAGCCUAAAAAGAUGCAAAUAAACAAGACCUUCCCAAGAAAGUUUAGCAAAAGCGUUCAAGGCUUCUACAAAGAUGCUGAAAACCUGGAAACAUAUAUGUCCUUGCAUGGGAAAACACAAUGUUAUAAAGAAUACAUACGAAAAAUUUGAUUCAUCUUUUAGAAGAAAUCCAAUUAAAAUCUCAAUGAUUUUUGGUGAUAAAUAUUUAGUAAAUGAAAUUUAUUUAUAGACAAAAAUUAGUGUGAACACAUAUAACAAUAUGGAAAACAUAAGAAAGCAUGGGUUUUCACACUAAAAUAUGUUGUAAGACACCCUACAAUAAAGCAGAAAACAGAAACUCACAUGGGUAUUUAAUGUGAGUGACAUUUAUGGUCACUGAGGAAAUAAUAAAUUACUUACUACAUGGUGUGAUAUGGUUUGGCUGUGUCCCCACCUAAAUCUCAUCUUGAAUUGCAGUUCCCAUAAUCCCCACAUAUCAUGGGAAGGACCCAGUGGCAGGUAACUGAAUCAUUGGGGGUGAUAGUCUUAUAAGGAGUUUUUCCCCCUUUGCUCAGCUCUCAUUGUCUCUCCUCCCGCCCUGUGAAGAUGUGCCUUCCACCAUGAUUGUAAGUUUCCUGAGACCUUCCCAGCCAUGCAGAACUGUGAGUCAAUUAAACCUCUUUUCUUUAUAAAUUAUCCAGUCUUGGGUAUUUCUUCAUAGCAGCAUGAGAACAAAUUAAUACAUGAUGUUAGAAUAAUUGGUUUAAUAUUCAGGUAAAACAAAGUUAGAUCUUGAUUUCACACCAUAUACUCCA